GCGGUAAGCCGCCGACUAGACCUGCGCUCAGAGUUGUGAUCCUGGCUACAGUAGUUUCGCCGCCAUGUUAGCGAGCGGACGGGUGAGUAACACGUGGGUAACCUGCCUGUAAGACUGGGAUAACUCCGGGAAACCGGAGCUAAUACCGGAUAGUUCCUUGAACCGCAUGGUUCAAGGAUGAAAGACGGUUUCGGCUGUCACUUACAGAUGGACCCGCGGCGCAUUAGCUAGUUGGUGAGGUAACGGCUCACCAAGGCGACGAUGCGUAGCCGACCUGAGAGGGUGAUCGGCCACACUGGGACUGAGACACGGCCCAGACUCCUACGGGAGGCAGCAGUAGGGAAUCUUCCGCAAUGGACGAAAGUCUGACGGAGCAACGCCGCGUGAGUGAUGAAGGUUUUCGGAUCGUAAAGCUCUGUUGUUAGGGAAGAACAAGUGCAAGAGUAACUGCUUGCACCUUGACGGUACCUAACCAGAAAGCCACGGCUAACUACGUGCCAGCAGCCGCGGUAAUACGUAGGUGGCAAGCGUUGUCCGGAAUUAUUGGGCGUAAAGGGCUCGCAGGCGGUUUCUUAAGUCUGAUGUGAAAGCCCCCGGCUCAACCGGGGAGGGUCAUUGGAAACUGGGAAACUUGAGUGCAGAAGAGGAGAGUGGAAUUCCACGUGUAGCGGUGAAAUGCGUAGAGAUGUGGAGGAACACCAGUGGCGAAGGCGACUCUCUGGUCUGUAACUGACGCUGAGGAGCGAAAGCGUGGGGAGCGAACAGGAUUAGAUACCCUGGUAGUCCACGCCGUAAACGAUGAGUGCUAAGUGUAGGGGGUUUCCGCCCCUUAGUGCUGCAGCUAACGCAUUAAGCACUCCGCCUGGGGAAUACCGUCGCAAGACUGAACUCCAAGGAUUGACGGGGCCCCGCCAAGCGGGGAGCUUGGGGUUAAUUCGAACCA
Molecule: ribosomal RNA, 943 nt
Filed under: Bacillus altitudinis
Lineage: Bacteria; Bacillati; Bacillota; Bacilli; Caryophanales; Bacillaceae
Description: bacterial SSU rRNA
Rfam family: Bacterial small subunit ribosomal RNA
Source: RNAcentral